Molecule: transfer RNA, 57 nt
Filed under: Ovis aries (sheep)
Lineage: Eukaryota; Metazoa; Chordata; Mammalia; Artiodactyla; Bovidae
Rfam family: tRNA
About the family: Transfer RNA (tRNA) molecules are approximately 80 nucleotides in length. Their secondary structure includes four short double-helical elements and three loops (D, anti-codon, and T loops).
Source: Rfam by way of RNAcentral
UGGCUUAGACAGUAAAGAAUCUGCCUUCAGUGCAGGAGACCCAGGUUCAAUCCCUGG